UUUAGUUUUACUUGCAUUUAAGAGCAGUUGGAGACCAUGGAAGGGGAGUUGUAUGGCAUUGAAGCUCGUCUGGAGGUUAGUUAACACAGUGUCCAAAGAAGGGCCAGAAGUAUACAGAAUGGUGUUGUCUGCAUAGAGGUGGAUCAGAGAAUCACCAGCAGCAAGAGUGACAUCAUUGAUGUAUACAGAGAAAAGAGUCGGCCCGACAAUUGAACCCUGUGGCACCCCCACCACUGAUCUGUCAGCAGCAGAAAGCCCUUCCCAACCGCUGCCCCGACAGCAGCAGAAAGCCCUUCCCAACCGCUGCCCCGACAGCAGCAGAAAGCCCUUCCCAACAGACAGACAGCACACUACUACAUUGCUAAACAGAGCGGUGCUAUAUAAAACUCCAAAUCAGCUUUCAUUUGGGCAGUGUUCCCUGUUGGCUUGCUGUUGUGACGUCACACUGCUGUGUUUUAUAGCACACUACCACAGUGACCUCCUGACCCUGACACAGUGACCCCCGACCUCGGACCUCUGUGUUUACACAGACAGUAUUGUAACACGGACGUAGCAUUAAAACGCAUAGGCCUAUGUAACGUGUGUAACAUGUAUGUGCUCUGCUGUAGGAGCACACUAUCCUGUAGUGUUCUUAACCUCCCCCCUCAAGAUUCAGAAAUGGCACCCUAUUCCCAAUAUAGGCCACUACUUUCUUUUGAUAUGCUGGAGACCUGAGUUAGAACCACCGCCUGUCGCAGAACCCUCGGUCUGUUGCAAUGGCGAUGCCUUUUGAUAUGCGGGAGACCUGAGUUAGAACCACCGCCUGUCGCAGAACCCUCGGUCUGUUGCCAUGGCGAUGCCUUUUGAUAUGCGGGAGACCUGAGUUAGAACCACCGCCUGUCGCAGAACCCUCGGUCUGUUGCCAUGGCGAUGCCUUUUGAUAUGCGGGAGACCUGAGUUAGAACCACCGCCUGUCGCAGAACCCUCGGUCUGUUGCAGAACCCUCGGUCUGUUGCCAUGGCGAUGCCUUUUGAUAUGCGGGAGACCUGAGUUAGAACCACCGCCUGUCACAGAACCCUCACUCUGUUGCCAUGGCGAUGCCUUUUGAUAUGCGGGAGACCUGAGUUAGAACCACCGCCUGUCGCAGAACCCUCGGUCUGUUGCCAUGGCGAUGCCUUUUGAUAUGCGGGAGACCUGAGUUAGAACCACCGCCUGUCACAGAACCCUCACUCUGUUGCCAUGGCGAUGCCUUUUGAUAUGCGGGAGACCUGAGUUAGAACCACCGCCUGUCACAGAACCCUCACUCUGUUGCCAUGGCGAUGCCUUUUGAUAUGCGGGAGACCUGAGUUAGAACCACCGCCUGUCGCAGAACCCUCGGUCUGUUGCCAUGGCGAUGCCUUUUGAUAUGCGGGAGACCUGAGUUAGAACCACCGCCUGUCGCAGAACCCUCGGUCUGUUGCCAUGGCGAUGCCUUUUGAUAUGCGGGAGACCUGAGUUAGAACCACCGCCUGUCACAGAACCCUCACUCUGUUGCCAUGGCGAUGCCUUUUGAUAUGCGGGAGACCUGAGUUAGAACCACCGCCUGUCGCAGAACCCUCGCUCUGUUGCCAUGGCGAUGCCUUUUGAUAUGCGGGAGACCUGAGUUAGAACCACCGCCUGUCGCAGAACCCUCGCUCUGUUGCCAUGGCGAUGCCUUUUGAUAUGCGGGAGACCUGAGUUAGAACCACCGCCUGUCACAGAACCCUCACUCUGUUGUUAUGGCGAUGCCCUAAAUAAGCUAGGGGACCAAACCCGUCCCUCCUUCCCUCCACCGCUCACUAGAAAAGAUAACUUGUCUUCUCUAUUAUGUCUUGUUGUUUCUUCUCCUUGGUGUCGUUAAACCAGUGUUCCUGAUUCAUGUGGUCAAUAUGUUGUUGUUGGGAUUUGUUAUUAUUAUUCUAUUUCAGUAUUGCUCUUUAAUGAUGAGUCAGUUUGUGAAUGAACUGGCUGACAACAGAUGUACAAACAGAACCAAUCACUUUAGACUAGGAGCCGUACGCAGACCAAUCACACGUCAGAAUAGGAGACAUACGGUUGAUCACCAGUUUGGGAUGGUAUAGACUGCUCUUAAUGCUGCAGUCUGUAAUUUAGCUCGUGCCCUGUGGUCACAGGACGAAAUGCACAAACAAUCAACGCUCAAAACAAACUUAUUAAGCCAAUCGAUGCAUAGACUCGUGAAGACCCUCUGUUUACAAACAAUUGUUGGUGUCAGAGUGUCAGUAGGGAGUAGGACUAACAGAGUGUUUAACUGCCACAGACCGACUGGUGUUCUCCAGUCCUUAUAACGGACGGUUAUUACACUUCAUAGACAGGUCAUAGAGGUGUCAGUAGGGAGUAGGACUAACAGAGUGUUUAACUGCCACAGACCGACUGGUGUUCUCCAGUCCUUAUAACGGACGGUUAUUACACUUCAUAGACAGGUCAUAGAGGUGUCAGUAGGGAGUAGGACUAACAGAGUGUUCUACUGCCACAGACCGACUGGUGUUCUCCAGUCCUUAUAACGGACGGUUAUUACACUUCAUAGACAGGUCAUAGAGGUGUCAUAGACAGGUCAUAGAGGUGUCAUAGAUGGGUCAUAGACAGGUCAUAGAGAGGUUAUAGACAGGUCGUAGAGGUGUCAUAGACGGGUCAUAGACAGGUCAUAGAGAUGUCAUAGACGGGUCAUAAAGGUGUCAUAGAGGGAUCAUAGACAGGUCAUAGAGGUGUCAUAGACAGGCCAUAGAGGUGUCAUAGACCGUUCAUAGACAGGUCAUAGAGAGGUUAUAGACAGGUCGUAGAGGUGUCAUAGACUGUCACAGCAGUGUCAUAGACAGCUCAUAGAGGUGUCAUAGACAGGUCAUAGAGUUGUCAUCGAUAGAGCUACCAUACAUUUCUGUCAGAUCUGUAUUAUGUAUCUCAUAGAUCAGACAGACAUGUUUUAGAACAUAUAGACAGGUUAACAUGUUAUAGAACUAUAAAAGACUUGUUAUGAACAUGUAAUAACUGGUCUACGGCACUGAGAGUCUGUCUCUACUGCCACAACACCAGACCUGUUAUACCAUGAUAUAAGUAUGUUAUGAACAUAUUAUAGAUGUUUAAUAAGGGUGGUCAGUCUCUCUACCUCCACAACACCAGACCUGUUAUACCAUGAUAUAAGUAUGUUAUGAACAUAUUAUAAAUGUUUAAUAAGGGUAGUCAGUCUCUACUGCCACAACACCAGACCUGUUAUACCAUGAUAUAAGUAUGUUAUGAACAUGUUAUGAACAUAUUAUAGAUGUUUAAUAAGGGUAGUCAGUCUCUCUACUGCCACAACACCAGACCUGUUAUACCAUGAUAUAAGUAUGUUAUGAACAUGUUAUAGAUGUUUAAUAAGGGUAGUAGUCAGUCUCUCUACUGCCACAACACCAGACCUGUUAUACCAUGAUAUAAGUAUGUUAUGAACAUGUUAUAGAUGUUUAAUAAGGGUAGUAGUCAGUCUCUCUACUGCCACAACACUGCCUCAGACGUUGCCAUGGAUGUGUUUUCUAAUGUAAAUAAGUCACUCCCACUUUCUACACUGCCCAUGGGCCUUUAUAAACCCUCUUCCUCUUCAUAGGAGCUCUAUAACAGCCUGCAUUGCUGCUCCAUACAUAGUGUUUAUAAUGCUAUAAGUGUUUCUGUGGAGCUGGCCAUUGGGAUGGACUACCAUCUACAGAGAGCAGGGUUUUGUUUCCACCAAGCAGUAACACACCUGAUGAUUCUACUUGUCAAAAUCUUUGAUUUAAUAUUACUGUGAUGAUGAUGAAGAUGAUGAUGUGUUUUCUAUGUGUCUGUCAUUUUAAUAACAAGCUUUUAUAUCAGUGAGA
Salmo salar (Atlantic salmon) is the source of this 3842-nucleotide non-coding RNA. Lineage: Eukaryota; Metazoa; Chordata; Actinopteri; Salmoniformes; Salmonidae. The record is from RefSeq and is a predicted model, not a curated record.